Molecule: long non-coding RNA, 245 nt
Filed under: Mytilus galloprovincialis (Mediterranean mussel)
Lineage: Eukaryota; Metazoa; Mollusca; Bivalvia; Mytilida; Mytilidae
Source: RNAcentral
AUAGAAAUGAGGAAAAUAUUAGAGAAUCAAUAAUAUCUUCUAAAGAACCUGAAACAUUGUUAAAAGAAGAGCUUCCACAUCUAACAGGAGAUCCAUUAUAUUGUUGUAAAACAUGUAGUAAAGGCUGCUCAUCUAGGCAAGACUUGGAGACACAUAUGAAAUGUCACAACCAAAUUUUUACAUGUAAAUUGUGUUCACAACAGUGCAGUAGUGAUAUACAACUAAAUAUUCACAUGCGAACACAC